Molecule: ribosomal RNA, 741 nt
Filed under: uncultured beta proteobacterium
Lineage: Bacteria; Pseudomonadati; Pseudomonadota; Betaproteobacteria
Description: bacterial SSU rRNA
Rfam family: Bacterial small subunit ribosomal RNA
Source: RNAcentral
ACGCUGGCGGCAUGCGUUACACAUGCAAGUCGGACGGCAGCACGGGUGCUUGCACCUGGUGGCGAGUGGCGAACGGGUGAGUAAUACAUCGGAACAUGUCCUGUAGUGGGGGAUAGCCCGGCGAAAGCCGGAUUAAUACCGCAUACGAUCUACGGAUGAAAGCGGGGGACCUUCGGGCCUCGCGCUAUAGGGUUGGCCGAUGGCUGAUUAGCUAGUUGGUGGGGUAAAGGCCUACCAAGGCGACGAUCAGUAGCUGGUCUGAGAGGACGACCAGCCACACUGGGACUGAGACACGGCCCAGACUCCUACGGGAGGCAGCAGUGGGGAAUUUUGGGACAAUGGGCGAAAGCCUGAUCCAGCAAUGCCGCGUGUGUGAAGAAGGCCUUCGGGUUGUAAAGCACUUUUGUCCGGAAAGAAAUCCUUGGUUCUAAUAUAGCCGGGGGAUGACGGUACCGGAAGAAUAAGCACCGGCUAACUACGUGCCAGCAGCCGCGGUAAUACGUAGGGUGCGAGCGUUAAUCGGAAUUACUGGGCGUAAAGCGUGCGCAGGCGGUUUGCUAAGACCGAUGUGAAAUCCCCGGGCUCAACCUGGGAACUGCAUUGGUGACUGGCAGGCUAGAGUAUGGCAGAGGGGGGUAGAAUUCCACGUGUAGCAGUGAAAUGCGUAGAGAUGUGGAGGAAUACCGAUGGCGAAGGCAGCCCCCUGGGCCAAUACUGACGCUCAUGCACGAAAGCGUGGGG